Long non-coding RNA from Pezoporus flaviventris, 793 nucleotides. RefSeq lists it as uncharacterized. The record is from RefSeq and is a predicted model, not a curated record. NCBI's taxonomy places the organism in Eukaryota, Metazoa, Chordata, Aves, Psittaciformes, Psittacidae. The transcript is spliced from 4 exons.
GGUUUUCUGACUAUGUCAUUUGUUAUAUAAUGGUUAGUGUGUGUAUCAAAUAUAUAUCCUUUCCAGAGAAAACAUGUGAAUUAGAAUCAGUAUUGAGAGAUUGAAAAUAGUCUGGAGUCUAGUAUCUGCUAUGUCUGAAAAGACAUUCUCCCAUUUUUUUCCACAGACACAUCAGCUGAUAGCUUGACAGACACUUACAAGACAGUGUUGAUGAGCCUGUACAUGCUACAUGCCUACUGAAUGUAUUCAUAUAUACUUAAAAGGUUCUCCUAGGGCAUCUGGAUUUUUUCACUCAAGUCAUGAACACCAAUCAAUGAGACCAGCAGCUCAACAGAAUGAGAAAUGACUCUUUUCUUACAGCAAUUUCAGCAUUGUCCUCAUGACCAUGCUCACAAGCUAUGCAGGAACCAGGCUACAAAUACUAGUUCAGUUUUGAAAGCCCAGUGGGAUCUGUGUGUCCAGACAACCCAGUGGCUUAACACACUGCCAGUUCAGGGAGAAAAUGACUUGGAAGUUAGUGAUGUAACAUAUCUGUGAGCCAUUAUCAAUCUCACUGGGAAGAUCUGAGAGUUCCCUUAUCUUGUAAAGAAGUGCAUCAUAGUAGUUAGAUAGGAAACGAAAACCGGUAGGCAGUCAUCCCUUGUAGAGCAAAAAAACACUGAAGAGGUUAUAAAACAAAAGUAGACAUAGCUACUGACUGCUGAGGUAGUUUAUCCUAUAUAUUCAGUUUUUUUCCAACUUUGGAAGUAAUAAAAUGUUACAUUUAAAUUGUUGACGUUAAAUAAGUUUUGAA